Molecule: small nucleolar RNA, 81 nt
Filed under: Castor canadensis (American beaver)
Lineage: Eukaryota; Metazoa; Chordata; Mammalia; Rodentia; Castoridae
Description: small Cajal body-specific RNA 18 (ENSCCNG00000023840.1)
Rfam family: small Cajal body-specific RNA 18
About the family: scaRNAs are a specific class of small nuclear RNAs which localise to the Cajal bodies and guide the modification of RNA polymerase II transcribed spliceosomal RNAs U1, U2, U4, U5 and U12. This C/D box domain U91 (also known as U4-8) was identified by Darzacq and is predicted to guide the 2'O-ribose methylation of U4 snRNA C8.
Source: Rfam by way of RNAcentral
CUGCCAAUGAUGACAUGACCACUGCGCAAUCUGAGUUCUAAGAACCAGAUGAUGGAGAGUGCUGAAAACAGACUGAGGCUG